This 255-nucleotide ribosomal RNA is filed under the name uncultured bacterium. RNAcentral's name for it is "partial 16S ribosomal RNA". It matches the Rfam family "Bacterial small subunit ribosomal RNA", at positions 335 to 607 of the family's 1533-position model. The record is from RNAcentral.
GACCCUACGGGGCGCAGCAGUGGGGAAUAUUGCACAAUGGGGGAAACCCUGAUGCAGCGACGCCGCGUGAGUGAAGAAGUAAUUCGUUAUGUAAAGCUCUAUCAGCAGGGAAGAAAAUGACGGUACCUGAGUAAGAAGCCCCGGCUAACUACGUGCCAGCAGCCGCGGUAAUACGUAGGGGGCAAGCGUUAUCCGGAUUUACUGGGUGUAAAGGGAGCGUAGACGGCAGUGCAAGUCUGGAGUGAAUGGCGGGGG